RNAcentral lists this ribosomal RNA (256 nucleotides) under uncultured bacterium. RNAcentral's name for it is "partial 16S ribosomal RNA". It matches the Rfam family "Bacterial small subunit ribosomal RNA", at positions 524 to 776 of the family's 1533-position model. The record is from RNAcentral.
CACGUAGGGCGCAAGCGUUUGUCCGGAAUUAUUGGGCGUAAAGAGCGCGUAGGCGGCCAGAUAAGUCCGGUGUGAAAGUCAAAGGCUCAACCUUUGAAUGCCGCUGGAAACUGUCUGGCUAGAGUCCGGGAGGGGCGAGUGGAAUUCCUGGUGUAGCGGUGAAAUGCGCAGAUAUCAGGAAGAACACCCGUGGCGAAGGCGGCUCUCUGGGACGGUACUGACGCUGAGACGCGAAAAGCGUGGGGGAGCGAACAGG